Non-coding RNA from Cavia porcellus (domestic guinea pig), 64 nucleotides. NCBI's taxonomy places the organism in Eukaryota, Metazoa, Chordata, Mammalia, Rodentia, Caviidae. The record is from Rfam.
GGGGAUUUAGCUCAGCGGCAUAAGCGCCUGCCUUGAAAGCAGGCAGUCGUGAGUUUGAUCCCCG